CACGCUGUAAACGAUGAAAACUUGCUGUUAGACAUUUAUAUAUGUUUGGUGGCGUAGCUAACGCGUUAAGUUUUCCGCCUGGGGANUGCUACACGAAGAACCUUACCUACCCUUGAUCUCCAAAACCAAGUAGAGAUAUUUGGGUGCCUUAGGGAAUUGGAUGACAGGUGC
RNAcentral lists this ribosomal RNA (171 nucleotides) under uncultured bacterium. Its description in RNAcentral is "partial 16S ribosomal RNA". The stretch from base 1 to 79 matches the Rfam family "Bacterial small subunit ribosomal RNA", at positions 796 to 873 of the family's 1533-position model. The record is from RNAcentral.